RNA transcript from Rhododendron vialii, 2216 nucleotides. It is a transcript of the gene named subtilisin-like protease SBT1.6, with no coding region annotated. The transcript has 5 exons. The record is from RefSeq and is a predicted model, not a curated record. Lineage: Eukaryota; Viridiplantae; Streptophyta; Magnoliopsida; Ericales; Ericaceae.
AUGUCGUAUUCAGUUUCUAGCGGCACUAGGUUCAUUUUUUAACAACUCAGAAACAUCUUUUUGAUUGUUGCCUAAAGUCGAUUUUGAAACAUUCUUCCUGUUACAAGUUUCAAAAUCUGUCCACCAAUAAAGUUUUUUGUAUUUUUUGACAAUUGCGCACACAAUAGAAAGCAAAAGCUGCAAAACGAUAGCGAACAGGCUAUUUUGGAAAGUUGUAUUGUAAUUCUCUCUCAGGUCUCUCAUCCUACAUGUCUGCACUUUGCUAGGAAAUGAUCGAGCCACCUAUGUUGCCCCAUGGAAUCUCAUGUUGACCCCUUAGGCUAUAGUGGCCACUUAUCCAACUUCUUAAUCUAACUGAAAGCAUCUCCCUUGCCCUUUUUCCUCUUUCAUAUACUUAAAAGGUCCACUUAUAUGUUUGAUGCCUCCCUUUUAAUUACUUUUGCCAAUUUCACAAGAAGUGAGGCUGGAAGCUCAGGCAUCCACGUUUCUAUGCACGCGCGUUCAUCUGCCUUCAAAUUCUAGAUGUAUGUGCUUUUUGCUUAUGAAACAUGUGAAUCUAAGAGUACUAUGUUUGAAGGUGGAUGGGGGCAACACUUAUUGAUUUCUUUAUCAAUGUUGUGGCGCUAUCGGUUACUUCAUCCUUCCAAUUCUAUUGCUAGUUUAAAAUUAUUGACUAAUUUUAAUUUGUAACGGAAUCAACAGCAAGAAAACUCUUGGCCAUAAUUUUCAGAUCAAGUGCAAUAAAACCGAAAUGACUUUCUUAAAUAUAUGUUGAAUUGUCUUAGUUUCAGAGGAUAGGUUGAUAGUUUGAUAUGGCCUUUGCCUUGCUUUUUUAAUUAUUUCCAAGAAGCAGGACAACAAAAAGUUCUCUUAGAAAUAUCUUUGCUCGUUUAUCAAAAUCAGUGCAUUACAUUUAUUGAACAUAUCAACAUAGUGUGUUGCAUAGAUUCUUUGAUGAUCAAUUGCAUCCAUGUUUCGUGACAUCGGAAGAUCCAUGAAGUUAACACAAAAAGAAAAACCUAUAUUCAAUCUCUGUAAAUCUGUAGCAUUUGAUUCAAGUAUUCAUGUUUUUAAAUGUGUUCGACCUUUUUGAGGAGCCAGCGAGAGGUGUAUUCAUCCACUCCUUUAUCAUGAGACGUGUCUGAGUUUAUUGAUUUACAUACGUUAUUUUGUUGGUUUUGCAUGUUUUAUCAGGUUUGGGUGGCAUACUAAGAAUCAAGUUGGCUAAAUGCUUUCAUUUUGAUUGUUUUAUUGAUAUACUAUGGUAGGAAAAUAAUUGGAGCUAGAUACUUUCUAAAGGGAUAUGAGGCAUAUUAUGGACCUCUAAAUAACACACAGGAUUAUCGGUCACCCCGAGAGAAACCACAAGGUACGUAUAUAUCGAAUUUGAUUCCUGGUGUCUAAUUUUUCUUCCCUGAUCCAUACAUAGGGGCAGACGGUGACUCCAUUUAAGCUGGGCAAGAUGUACCCACUAGUUUAUGCCGAAAACUCAGAAAUUCCCAGUACAACCCCCAAAGACAAGACCGGGCUAUGCCUCCAUGGAACUCUCUCCCCAGCUCUCGUCGAAGGAAAAAUUGUCGUGUGCCUAAGUGGGUAUUCCUUCAAUGUUGAGAAGGGUUUGGAGGUGAAACAUGCUGGUGGGAUUGGUUUCGUUCUGCAAAAUCCUGUGAAUGGCAUAGGGAUAUCCGUUGAUGAUCAUGUGCUUCCCGGAACAGCAGUGUUUUCUAACGAUUCAGUCACCAUUCUCGACUAUAUUAGAGCUAGUAAUAGUCCAACGGCGAUGUUGAUCCCACCGGAAACUGUCUUGGGCAGUAGACCAGCACCGUUCAUGGCAGCGUUCUCUUCCAUGGGUCCGAAUGGCCUCCAACCUAAUAUACUCAAGGGAAAUUAGGUGUUGAAUUUGGUGCAUAGAAGUUGGAACUGUUAUUUCGGGAGUCUAAAGGUCUUCAAGUAGAAGGAGAAGAUCGAUGCCAAUCAAAGAAAAAAGAGAGAAGAUCAUUGCUUUGUCAUAUGAAGAUGGAGAUUGUGAUCUAGCUACCGCGGGUUGAAACUUAGUUGAACCAAUUUUCUUUUGACACUUCCUUUUCUCUUCUUUGUUUUUCUAUGAGAGAGGUGGGCUAUGUGGAUGUUUAUAUCUUUUUGCAUUUGGAAGCUACUGGUUUUUUUCCAAUGUUAACAUAAUAUACUUCAAUUCGGAUGCAAUACUAUUAUUUCCA